CCUACGGGGGGCUGCAGUGGGGAAUAUUGGACAAUGGGGGCAACCCUGAUCCAGCCAUGCCGCGUGUGUGAAGAAGGCCCUCGGGUCGUAAAGCACUUUCAGUGAGGAAGAACGCCUGGUGGUUAAUACCCAUCAGGAAAGACAUCACUCACAGAAGAAGCACCGGCUAACUCCGUGCCAGCAGCCGCGGUAAUACGGAGGGUGCGAGCGUUAAUCGGAAUUACUGGGCGUAAGCGCGCGUAGGUGGCUUGAUAAGCCGGUUGUGAAAGCCCCGGGCUCAACCUGGGAACGGCAUCCGGAACUGUCAAGCUAGAGUGCAGGAGAGGAAGGUAGAAUUCCCGGUGUAGCGGUGAAAUGCGUAGAGAUCGGGAGGAAUACCAGUGGCGAAGGCGGCCUUCUGGACUGACACUGACACUGAGGUGCGAAAGCGUGGGUAGCAAACAGGAUUAGAUACCCCUGUAGUC
Molecule: ribosomal RNA, 464 nt
Filed under: Vreelandella stevensii
Lineage: Bacteria; Pseudomonadati; Pseudomonadota; Gammaproteobacteria; Oceanospirillales; Halomonadaceae
Description: partial 16S ribosomal RNA
Rfam family: Bacterial small subunit ribosomal RNA
Source: RNAcentral